This 250-nucleotide ribosomal RNA is filed under the name uncultured bacterium. RNAcentral describes it as "partial 16S ribosomal RNA". It matches the Rfam family "Bacterial small subunit ribosomal RNA", at positions 28 to 280 of the family's 1533-position model. The record is from RNAcentral.
GACGAACGCUGGCGGCGUGCUUAACACAUGCAAGUCGAGCGGUAAGGCCCUUCGGGGUACACGAGCGGCGAACGGGUGAGUAACACGUGGGUGACCUGCCUCUAGCUCUGGGAUAAGCCUGGGAAACGUGGGUCUAAUACCGGAUAUGACUCCACGGCGCAUGUUGUGGGGUGGAAAGCCUUGUGUGGCUAGAGAUGGGCCCGCGGCCUAUCAGCUUGUUGGUGGGGUGAUGGCCUACCAAGGCGACGAC